Molecule: ribosomal RNA, 1080 nt
Filed under: uncultured Rhizaria
Lineage: Eukaryota
Description: SSU rRNA
Rfam family: Eukaryotic small subunit ribosomal RNA
Source: RNAcentral
CGGUAAUUCCAGCUCCAAUAGCGUAUACUAAAGUUGUUGCAGUUAAAAAGCUCGUAGUUGGAUUUCUGCGGGGACGGAGCGGCCGGUCGCAACUUGCGACUCGAGCUAGCGCUUUCCCCGCAUCCUGCCGCGAACCGUGCUACCAUUAGUUUGGUGGCGCUGGGGAUCGGCUCGAUUACUUUGAGAAAAAUAGAGUGUUCAAAGCAGGCCACACGCCUUGAAUAAGUUAGCAUGGAAUAAUGACUAAGGACUUUGGUUCUUUUCGUUGGUGUUCGGGACUGAAGUAAUAAUUGAUAGGGACAGUUGGGGCGGUCCGUAUUCCAAAGCGAGAGGUGAAAUUCUUAGACCUUCGGAAGACGAACAGCUGCGAAAGCGUUCCGCAAGGAUGUUCCCUUUGAUCAAGAACGAAAGUUGGGGGAUCGAAGACGAUCAGAUACCGUCGUAGUCUCAACUAUAAACUAUACCAGCUAGGGAUCGGCCAACGUUUAAUUAUUCGACUUGGUCGGCACCUUAUGAGAAAUCAAAGCAUCUGGGUUCCGGGGGGAGUAUGGUCGCAAGGCUGAAACUUAAAGGAAUUGACGGAAGGGCACCACCAGGCGUGGAGCCUGUGGCUUAAUUUGACUCAACACGGGAAAACUUACCAGGUCCAGACAUAGGAAGGAUUGACAGAUUGAUAGCUCUUUCUUGAUUCUGUGGGUGGUGGUGCAUGGCCGUUUUUAGUCGGUGAAGUGAUUUGUCUGCUUAAUUGCGUUAACGGACGAGACCCCAGCCUGCUAAAUAGCGCGGCCGAGCUUUGCUCGGUACGAGCUUCUUAGAGGGACCAUGAUGCGCGAUAGCACAAGGAAGUUUGGGGCAACAACAGGUCUGUGAUGCCCUUAGAUGUUCUGGGCCGCACACGGGCUACACUGGCGCCUGCAACGAGCAUAUCAGCUGGCCCGAGAGGGUCUUGGCUAAUCUUUGGAACCGGCGCCGUGCUUGGGAUUGACCAUUGCAAUUGUUGGUCAUGCAACGAGGAAUGCCUUGUAAACGCGAGUCAUCAGCUCGCAUUGAAUACGUCCCUGCCCCUUGUACACACCGCCC